Molecule: ribosomal RNA, 407 nt
Filed under: uncultured bacterium
Lineage: Bacteria
Description: partial 16S ribosomal RNA
Rfam family: Bacterial small subunit ribosomal RNA
Source: RNAcentral
AGUGAACGCUGGCGGCGUGCCUAAUACAUGCAAGUCGAACGGCGUGGCGCACGGGUGAGUAAUAUAUAGCUAAUCUGCCCCUUUCUGUAGGACAAACGUUUGAAAUGACUGCUAAUACUCCAUAGCCAGGGAUGAGACUCUAUCGUAUCAGCUAGUCUGUGGGGUAACGGCCUACCGAGGCUAUGACGCAUAACUGGUCUGAGAGGAUGAUCAGACACAAUGGAACUGAGACACGGUCCAAACUCCUACGGGGGGCAGCAGUAGGGGAUAGUGCGCAAGGGGUGAAGCACUGACGCAGCAACGCCGCGUGGAGGAUGACACUUUUCGGAGCGUAAACGCCUUUGUUAGGGAAGCGGUACCUAACGAAAAAGCACCGGCUAACUCCGUGACAGCAGCCGCGGUAAUAC